This 685-nucleotide long non-coding RNA is filed under the name Daucus carota (carrot). RNAcentral's name for it is "long non-coding RNA (DCAR_LNC006002)". Lineage: Eukaryota; Viridiplantae; Streptophyta; Magnoliopsida; Apiales; Apiaceae. The record is from RNAcentral.
AAUUUGUUUAGCCGCUCUGUCAUUAUAAACUGCUUCUGCUGAAAUUCACAACUUGGAGUCAUUUAGGCAAUCAAAGAUUGACUUUGCAGGAUUAAUUGUGUUAACAAACUUCACUAUAAAGAUUAGCAGUAGAUUCCUUGUCAGAAUUUGAACCGUGUUUCUUGAUCCUGACAUAUACUUGUUAUAUAUUCGAGAUUUAGGAUUACCAGAUUCAGGGGUGGCGCAACGGCAGUUGAAUCAGAGAAAAGCUCCGGUUAUGGUGGCAUGAAAACUUUGUGAAACAGCAAAUGGGUCUCUUGAUACAGAGCACCGAGUCGAAAGAGGCUGAGUUUUGGCGAGUCGGUGAGUUGACUUGGGACAGAUGAUUAAAAAUACGUGAGAUGUGGCUUUUACCACCGGAAUGUUACCGGAUUUAUGCCGGUUUAUCGGAGAUGUGCUUAAGGUUGUAAUGAACGGAUGAAGGCAGGACAGGGUAAAAGAAGAGGAAAUAAGGUCUUGUAUAGUUAAGAUGUUGCUUGAUUGUUUACAUAAGAGAUUGGCCGAAUAUAUAAGCAUACACUAACCAAACUUGGGGACCAAGCUUGUUACUGUAGAAUGUAUUAUUCAAAGUUUCUAACAACGUUUAUUAAUAGACCCGGGGACCAAUUUUGAUCAACUUUGCAGCAAAUUGAUCUGGUCUUUGUUG